UACGUAGGGUGCGAGCGUUAAUCGGAAUUACUGGGCGUAAAGCGUGCGCAGGCGGUUUUGAAAGACAGGCGUGAAAUCCCCGGGCUCAACCUGGGAACUACGCUUGUGACUUCAAGACUAGAGUACGGCAGAGGGGGGUAGAAUUCCACGUGUAGCAGUGAAAUGCGUAGAGAUGUGGAGGAAUACCGAUGGCGAAGGCAGCCCCCUGGGUCAACACUGACGCUCAUGCACGAAAGCGUGGGGAGCAAACAGG
This 253-nucleotide ribosomal RNA is filed under the name uncultured bacterium. RNAcentral describes it as "partial 16S ribosomal RNA". It matches the Rfam family "Bacterial small subunit ribosomal RNA", at positions 524 to 776 of the family's 1533-position model. The record is from RNAcentral.